RNAcentral lists this unclassified non-coding RNA (304 nucleotides) under Entoloma sp. Its description in RNAcentral is "partial internal transcribed spacer region". The stretch from base 1 to 46 matches the Rfam family "Eukaryotic small subunit ribosomal RNA", at positions 1786 to 1831 of the family's 1831-position model. Lineage: Eukaryota; Fungi; Basidiomycota; Agaricomycetes; Agaricales; Entolomataceae. The record is from RNAcentral.
AAGUCGUAACAAGGUUUCCGUAGGUGAACCUGCGGAAGGAUCAUUAAUGAAUAAACUUGGUUAAGUUGCUGCUGGCUUUUAGGGGCAUGUGCACGCUUAAUCCAUCUUUAUAACCACCUGUGCAAUUCGUGUAGAUCUGAGAAAGUCGAGGAAACUCGGUUUGGGAAUUGCUGCGUGAAAGCCAGCUAUUCCUACUUUCAGAUCUACGUUUUCACAUACCCCAUUGAAUGUAUUCGAAUGUUGUAAUAGGCCUCUGUGCCUUUAAAACCUAAUACAACUUUCAACAACGGAUCUCUUGGCUCUC